GAUGAACGCUGGCGGCGUGCCUAAUACAUGCAAGUCGAGCGAACAGACGAGGAGCUUGCUCCUUUGACGUUAGCGGCGGACGGGUGAGUAACACGUGGGUAACCUACCUAUAAGACUGGGAUAACUUCGGGAAACCGGAGCUAAUACCGGAUAAUAUUUCGAACCGCAUGGUUCGAUAGUGAAAGAUGGCUUUGCUAUCACUUAUAGAUGGACCUGCGCCGUAUUAGCUAGUUGGUAAGGUAACGGCUUACCAAGGCAACGAUACGUAGCCGACCUGAGAGGGUGAUCGGCCACACUGGAACUGAGACACGGUCCAGACUCCUACGGGAGGCAGCAGUAGGGAAUCUUCCGCAAUGGGCGAAAGCCUGACGGAGCAACGCCGCGUGAGUGAUGAAGGUCCUCGGAUCGUAAAACUCUGUUAUUAGGGAAGAACAAACGUGUAAGUAACUGUGCACGUCUUGACGGUACCUAAUCAGAAAGCCACGGCUAACUACGUG
RNAcentral lists this ribosomal RNA (497 nucleotides) under uncultured bacterium. Its description in RNAcentral is "partial 16S ribosomal RNA". It matches the Rfam family "Bacterial small subunit ribosomal RNA", at positions 28 to 507 of the family's 1533-position model. The record is from RNAcentral.